Parelaphostrongylus tenuis is the source of this 77-nucleotide non-coding RNA. The record is from the annotation of a GenBank genome assembly. Lineage: Eukaryota; Metazoa; Nematoda; Chromadorea; Rhabditida; Metastrongylidae.
GCGUCAAUAGUGCAAUGGGGUUAGAGCACGCGCUUCCCAGAAAGUGUGAGAUGCGGGUUCGAGUCCCGCCUGACGCG